This 655-nucleotide ribosomal RNA is filed under the name uncultured bacterium. RNAcentral's name for it is "bacterial SSU rRNA". It matches the Rfam family "Bacterial small subunit ribosomal RNA", at positions 8 to 692 of the family's 1533-position model. The record is from RNAcentral.
AGAGUUUGAUCAUGGCUCAGGGUGAACGCUGGCGGCGUGCCUAAGACAUGCAAGUCGAACGGGCCUGAUUUCGGUCAGGCUAGUGGCGGACGGGUGAGUAACACGUGGGUGAUCUACCCCAAAGUCUGGGACAACUAGGGGAAACCUUAGCUAAUCCCGGAUGGUGAGGCUUCUCCUGUGAAGUCUCUAAAGAUUUAUCGCUUUGGGAUGAGCCCGCGGCGCAUCAGCUAGUUGGUGGGGUAAUGGCCUACCAAGGCGACGACGCGUAGCUGGUCUGAGAGGACGACCAGCCACAGGAGCACUGAGACACGGGCUCCACUCCUACGGGAGGCAGCAGUUAGGAAUCUUCGUCAAUGGGCGAAAGCCUGAACGAGCGACGCCGCUUGAGGGACGAAGCCCUUCGGGGUGUAAACCUCUGAACAGGGGACGAUGAUGACGGUACCCUGCUAAUAGCACCGGCUAACUCCGUGCCAGCAGCCGCGGUAAUACGGAGGGUGCGAGCGUUACCCGGAUUUACUGGGCGUAAAGGGCGUGUAGGCGGUUUUCUAAGUCCGGGGCUAAAGACCAGGGCUCAACCCUGGGUUUGCCUUGGAUACUGGAAAGCUCGACGGCUGGAGGGGGCAGCGGAAUUUCCGGAGUAGCGGUGAAAUGCGCA